UGGGGAAUAUUGCGCAAUGGGGGGAACCCUGACGCAGCAACGCCGCGUGAGUGAAGAAGGUCUUCGGAUCGUAAAACUCUGUCAUAGGGGAAGAAGGAAGUGACGGUACCCUAUGAGGAAGCCCCGGCUAACUACGUGCCAGCAGCCGCGGUAAUACGUAGGGGGCGAGCGUUGUCCGGAAUGAUUGGGCGUAAAGGGCGCGUAGGCGGCCUGUUAAGUCUGGAGUGAAAUUCCUGCUUUCAUGGUAGGAAGUGCUUUGGAAACUGGCGGGCUGGAGUGCAGGAGAGGUUAGCGGAAUUCCCGGUGUAGCGGUGAAAUGCGUAGAGAUCGGGAGGAACACCAGUGGCGAAGGCGGCCUGCUGGACAUUAACUGACGCUGAUGCGCGAAAGCGUGGGGAGCAAACAGG
Molecule: ribosomal RNA, 407 nt
Filed under: uncultured prokaryote
Description: bacterial SSU rRNA
Rfam family: Bacterial small subunit ribosomal RNA
Source: RNAcentral